This 492-nucleotide ribosomal RNA is filed under the name uncultured bacterium. Its description in RNAcentral is "bacterial SSU rRNA". It matches the Rfam family "Bacterial small subunit ribosomal RNA", at positions 8 to 518 of the family's 1533-position model. The record is from RNAcentral.
AGAGUUUGAUUCUGGCUCAGGAUGAACGCUGGCGGCGUGCCUAACACAUGCAAGUCGAACGAUGAAGCCGGCUUCGGCCGGGUAUGAAGUGGCGAACGGGUGAGUAACACGUGACCAACCUGCCCCGCGCCCCGGGAUAGCCUCGAGAAAUCGGGAUUAACACCGGAUACUCCGCGGGCCCCGCAUGAGGCCGGCGGGAAAGCUUUGCGGCGCGGGAUGGGGUCGCGGCCCAUUAGGUAGCAGGCGGGGUGACGGCCCACCUGGCCGACGAUGGGUAGCCGGGUUGAGAGACCGACCGGCCACAUUGGGACUGAGAUACGGCCCAGACUCCUACGGGAGGCAGCAGUGGGGAAUAUUGCGCAAUGGGCGCAAGCCUGACGCAGCAACGCCGCGUGCGGGAAGAAGGCCCUCGGGUUGUAAACCGCUUUCAGCAGGGAAGAUCGUGACGGUACCUGCAGAAGAAGCCCCGGCUAACUACGUGCCAGCAGCCGC